UGCGUAGGCGGCUUUUUAAGUCGGAUGUGAAAUCCCUGAGCUUAACUUAGGAAUUGCAUUCGAUACUGGUUGGCUAGAGUAUGGGAGAGGAUGGUAGAAUUCCAGGUGUAGCGGUGAAAUGCGUAGAGAUCUGGAGGAAUACCGAUGGCGAAGGCAGCCAUCUGGCCUAAUACUGACACUGAGGUGCGAAAGCAUGGGGAGCAAACAGGAUUAGAUACCCCCGUA
RNAcentral lists this ribosomal RNA (225 nucleotides) under uncultured Acinetobacter sp. RNAcentral's name for it is "partial 16S ribosomal RNA". It matches the Rfam family "Bacterial small subunit ribosomal RNA", at positions 568 to 792 of the family's 1533-position model. Lineage: Bacteria; Pseudomonadati; Pseudomonadota; Gammaproteobacteria; Moraxellales; Moraxellaceae. The record is from RNAcentral.